UACAGAGGGUGCGAGCGUUGUUCGGAAUUAUUGGGCGUAAAGCGCUUGUAGGCGGCACGUCAAGUCGCGUGUGAAAUCCCCAGGCUUAACCUGGGAAGUGCGCGCGAAACUGACGAGCUUGAGUGCCGGAGAGGGUCGCGGAAUUCCCGGUGUAGAGGUGAAAUUCGUAGAUAUCGGGAGGAACACCAGUGGCGAAGGCGGCGGCCUGGACGGACACUGACGCUGAGACGCGAAAGCGUGGGGAGCAAACAGG
RNAcentral lists this ribosomal RNA (253 nucleotides) under uncultured bacterium. RNAcentral describes it as "partial 16S ribosomal RNA". It matches the Rfam family "Bacterial small subunit ribosomal RNA", at positions 524 to 776 of the family's 1533-position model. The record is from RNAcentral.